Molecule: unclassified non-coding RNA, 240 nt
Filed under: soil metagenome
Description: partial contains 5.8S ribosomal RNA, internal transcribed spacer 2, and large subunit ribosomal RNA
Source: RNAcentral
AACCUAGCACACCUGCGGUGUGUACCUGCGGAGGGAUCAUUAUCGAGUUGCAAAACUCCCUAAACCAUUGUGAACCUACCUGUACCGUUCCUUCGGCGGGCGGCGUCAAGCCCUAACCCGGUCCCCUUUACGGGGGAUGGACCCGCCGGAGGCUCCUAAACUCUUAAUUUUAGUUGGCAUCUCUGAGUAAAUCAAAAUAAGUCAAAACUUUCAGCAAUGGAUCUCAGAUCGGAAGAGCAC